UUUGUACUCCCUCCGUCCGGAAAUACUUGUCAUAGAAAUGGAUGUAUCUAUAACUAAAUUACAUCUAGAUACAUCCAUUCCUUGGACAAGUAUUUCCGUACGGAGGGAGUACUAA
This is a non-coding RNA of Triticum urartu, 115 nucleotides long. Lineage: Eukaryota; Viridiplantae; Streptophyta; Magnoliopsida; Poales; Poaceae. The record is from Rfam.